Molecule: ribosomal RNA, 207 nt
Filed under: uncultured bacterium
Lineage: Bacteria
Description: partial 16S ribosomal RNA
Rfam family: Bacterial small subunit ribosomal RNA
Source: RNAcentral
CACGCAGGCGGUUUGUUAAGUCAGAUGUGAAAUCCCCGGGCUCAACCUGGGAACUGCAUCUGAUACUGGCAAGCUUGAGUCUCGUAGAGGGGGGUAGAAUUCCAGGUGUAGCGGUGAAAUGCGUAGAGAUCUGGAGGAAUACCGGUGGCGAAGGCGACCCCCUGGACGAAGACUGACGCUCAGGUGCGAAAGCGUGGGGAGCAAACA